UGCACUCACUACUGUAAGUCGCUCUGGAUAAGAGUGUCUACUAAAUGCCUAGAA
Non-coding RNA from Salmo salar (Atlantic salmon), 54 nucleotides. NCBI's taxonomy places the organism in Eukaryota, Metazoa, Chordata, Actinopteri, Salmoniformes, Salmonidae. The record is from Rfam.